RNAcentral lists this long non-coding RNA (1524 nucleotides) under Capsicum annuum. RNAcentral's name for it is "long non-coding RNA (CANN_LNC010055)". The record is from RNAcentral. Lineage: Eukaryota; Viridiplantae; Streptophyta; Magnoliopsida; Solanales; Solanaceae.
CCGCCAAAACCUAUAUUUUAUUAAUUCUACACUAGUGAAUAAUGAAAAACUAAUUUUAAUUCUAAAGAUAAGGUAAUUUAUUCUGAAAGAUAUUUCAUUGCCUAUCAAGUUUUAACCUUUUAAUGAUAUAAACUAUAUACUGGAGCCUAGUGAUUAGGCUAAGUUAAAGAAGAAAUAAUUAAAUUUUCUACCAUAUUAAAGAUUCACAUUAAUUCAAACAAGAACAUACAAAACACAAAUAAUAAUAAUAAUGUAAGAAAUGUUGAACAAAAAUAAUAAUGAUUUUCUACAAAAGAAAAAUGACUAUCCUGAAGAAAAAGGGAAUGAGGAAUUAGACUGCUAGACGAAGAUACGUAAUGCAUCUGUUACGUUGCUUCUCUGAUUUGGACAGAGAUGGUGUCAAGCCAUGAGACCCCAAAUGCGCUCCAGAGUUUGCAUGAGACAAUGAAAAGGGAUAAGGAUUAGUAGCCAAUUAGGUAGUUAAAAAUGGAAUAAUAAAAUCAGCUUAAUAAGAGAAAAAAAUACAUUAGUAAAGACCAUUUUUUCCAAACUAAAACUUAUGACUAAAAAAUAAGCGAGGAGGAGAUACCAGGACAUAAGAGGGACCUAUGAUCACUUGAUGCACAAAGAAAAGCUAUGAACCAUACCAAGUAUCAUGUCUAGCUGUUUUGGAUAAAUAGAGUAAUUACUUAGCGAUCUUACAACCAAGGUAGUCACUGGGAGUAGACACAAAAUGCCUCAUUACCUUGAAUCCCUUUCUAAAUAUGACACUAAAACUAAUCAAAGCAUAUCCCUAAAAGUUCAUCAACAUUGUGUUUAAAUUGAAUCACUGAUCCAAAUACAUAAAAAAACAAAAAUUUCUUUUGCCACCUUCAAUUAUAUAGUUAUUUGAUCCUAACAUAUUCAUCUAGUUUAAAACUUAUUUUAACAAUGAAAUUUGAUAUCCCAGAUGUCAAAAAUAUGAAGAAUGAGUUAAGAGACUUAAACACAAAAAUAAGCAAAGACCUUGAGGAAACAGAAAAUGCAAACAAACAAGGGAACAAAAUCGGAUAACCGAUUUAAGAACGAAAUCAUUCAUGACCAGGCCAACGUCUUUUUUAUACUAAACUUAGACGGAAUACACAACUUAGAGCCAAGGAAAAGAUGAAGUCUCACAAGUUCUACGAGCUUAAUGCCCUUCAGAAAAGAAAAAAUGAAAUAGAUGUAAUUUUCAGCGUCAUCUUAACAGAUUUCGAAUUUCACAGAAAAAUGCUAAGCUUAUAGCCACCAAAAUGAAUCUGUACAUAGCACACAAGAAAAAUUUUACGUCCAAACAUUAGCACAUAAGUUUUGCUCGAAAAUAUGUUGACAUGUUGUUCAUUAUAUUUUCAAAAAAAACAGUUUUCAUGCCUAUUUAAUGGCUGCCGAGAUCUUGUAACCAUAUGGACGAGCAUUGGAAAAAUAAGAAGCUAUUACCAUGUUCAAGGUACUCAAACCAACGUCACAAUGAGCUUUAAACAUUCAGUUACUCUACAAAUAUGCCUC